AACGAACGCUGGCGGCAGGCUUAACACAUGCAAGUCGAGCGCCCCGCAAGGGGAGCGGCAGACGGGUGAGUAACGCGUGGGAACGUACCCUUUUCUACGGAAUAACGCAUGGAAACGUGUGCUAAUACCGUAUACGCCCUUCGGGGGAAAGAUUUAUCGGAGAAGGAUCGGCCCGCGUUGGAUUAGUUAGUUGGUGGGGUAAAGGCCUAACAAGGCGACGAUCCAUAGCUGGUCUGAGAGGAUGAUCAGCCACAUUGGGACUGAGACACGGCCCAAACUCCUACGGGAGGCAGCAGUGGGGAAUAUUGGACAAUGGGCGCAAGCCUGAUCCAGCCAUGCCGCGUGAGUGAUGAAGGCCUUAGGGUUGUAAAGCUCUUUCACCGGAGAAGAUAAUGACGGUAUCCGGAGAAGAAGCCCCGGCUAACUUCGUGCCAGCAGCCGCAGUAA
This 447-nucleotide ribosomal RNA is filed under the name uncultured bacterium. RNAcentral describes it as "partial 16S ribosomal RNA". It matches the Rfam family "Bacterial small subunit ribosomal RNA", at positions 29 to 523 of the family's 1533-position model. The record is from RNAcentral.